CAGUCUCAAGGGCUCACUGUGGCACCUGACAUCUGCAGGUCUCAUGCCUCAACAGCAGGUGGUGAAAUAACCCACAUUUGGGACCAGUGUUGUGGGUGCAGCGAGUUAAGCCAGCAUUGCCUAGGGGUGCCGGUUCGAGUCCCUGAUGCUCCACUUCUGAGCCAGCUUCCAGCUCAGGCACCUGGGAAAGCAGUGGAAGAUGGCCCAAGUGCUCAGGCCCCUGCAACCCAAGGGGGAGAUACAGAUGGAGUUCCAGGUUCCUGGCUUCUGCCUGGCCCAGCCCCAGCCAUUGUGGAUGUCUGGGGGAAUGAACCAGUGGAUGGAAGAUCUCUCUCUCUCCCUCCCUCCCUCUCUCCUUCUCUCUCUCUUUCCCUCUCUACCUCUGUGUGUGUGUGUGCAUGUGCAUCUAACUCUGCCUUUCAAAUAACUAAACAAGUAAAAGAAAUACCUACAUUUCUCCAGUUUCGAAUCCAUCAUGUCGCGACACUGGCCCUCCUGUGUGUUACCAGCGCCCCACUCACACCACAUGAAAUUCACCACUUGAGCUUGACAACUCCCAAAUCAUGGUCAACAAGAAAGUACCCGUCCAUCUCCCAUGUGUGGGUGCCAGGGCAAUGCAAAAUGACCACAGAUCUUCCUAAGAAGGUCCUUUCCACCUCCUUGUCUUCAAGACGGCCCCUGGCCCGCCAUGAGCAGCCCUGGCCUGCACCUGCACCUCCCCGGGUCAGACAGCCCCGUGUGGCUGCCGUCAGAACAGUAGGGCAGUGGGGAGGUGAAGGAGCUCCCUGCUCCUUCUUUCUUCGUUUGGCAAAUGUCAUAGCAGACGCCAAGGCCGAGAGCAGAAUACCACGUCAGGUUGGAUGCUGUGACGCUGUGUCCCAGAGCUCCGAUGAUCACACUUCCCUGCAAGGACAGAUCUCUGCUCCCUGCAGCAGCCGCGUGGCCAGGAGGCUGCGCAAGACCAGAGUUCCUCUGGCCCUCCUCUUGGAAGAUAGCGUGAACCUCGCUCUCCCAGUCUUUCUCCCUGGGGGACACCUGGCUGUCCAGUGGGGAGAGAGUCUUCAGUGGCGUAUUCCCAGACAAGCACUCGGGUUUUGUUGUGAUGGGGGACAACUCUCAUCUGUUAUAUUUUAG
This 1134-nucleotide long non-coding RNA is filed under the name Oryctolagus cuniculus (rabbit). Its description in RNAcentral is "lncRNA (ENSOCUG00000037049.1)". Lineage: Eukaryota; Metazoa; Chordata; Mammalia; Lagomorpha; Leporidae. The record is from RNAcentral.